Molecule: long non-coding RNA, 148 nt
Organism: Daphnia magna
Lineage: Eukaryota; Metazoa; Arthropoda; Branchiopoda; Diplostraca; Daphniidae
Rfam family: Sphinx conserved region 2
Source: Rfam
UCUGUUAAGGUUUUUGGCGCUGGCAACACAAGUACCUUCAGCCAAAAAAGGUUGGAAUUGCCCCAUUUGUGCAAUUUACUGUUGGUUCCAUGAUUUUAUUCUAUGCCCUCAAUUAUGGAAAAAUGAGUAAGUACUACACAAAUUGAAU